This 432-nucleotide ribosomal RNA is filed under the name uncultured bacterium. RNAcentral describes it as "partial 16S ribosomal RNA". It matches the Rfam family "Bacterial small subunit ribosomal RNA", at positions 29 to 507 of the family's 1533-position model. The record is from RNAcentral.
ACGAACGCUGGCGGCAGGCCUAACACAUGCAAGUCGAGCGCGCCCUUCGGGGUGAGCGGCGGACGGGUGAGUAACGCGUGGGAACGUGCCCUUUUCUACGGAAUAGCCUCGGGAAACUGAGAGUAAUACCGUAUACGCCCUUUGGGGGAAAGAUUUAUCGGAAAAGGAUCGGCCCGCGUUGGAUUAGGUAGUUGGUGGGGUAAUGGCCUACCAAGCCGACGAUCCAUAGCUGGUUUGAGAGGAUGAUCAGCCACACUGGGACUGAGACACGGCCCAGACUCCUACGGGAGGCAGCAGUGGGGAAUCUUAGACAAUGGGGGCAACCCUGAUCUAGCCAUGCCGCGUGAGUGAUGAAGGCCUUAGGGUUGUAAAGCUCUUUCAGCUGGGAAGAUAAUGACGGUACCAGCAGAAGAACCCCCGGCUAACUCCGUG